This 22-nucleotide microRNA is filed under the name Gallus gallus (chicken). RNAcentral's name for it is "gga-miR-1668-5p". The record is from miRBase by way of RNAcentral. Lineage: Eukaryota; Metazoa; Chordata; Aves; Galliformes; Phasianidae.
GUGGGCUGGGAGCACAGGCACU